Molecule: ribosomal RNA, 253 nt
Filed under: uncultured bacterium
Lineage: Bacteria
Description: partial 16S ribosomal RNA
Rfam family: Bacterial small subunit ribosomal RNA
Source: RNAcentral
UACGUAGGGGGCAAGCGUUGUCCGGAAUUAUUGGGCGUAAAGAGCGUGUAGGCGGUCCGGUAAGUCAGCUGUGAAAGUCAAGGGCUCAACCCUUGAAUGCCGGUUGAUACUGUCGGGCUAGAGUCCGGAAGAGGCGAGUGGAAUUCCCGGUGUAGCGGUGAAAUGCGCAGAUAUCAGGAAGAACACCAAUGGCGAAGGCAGCUCUCUGGGACGGUACUGACGCUGAGGAGCGAAAGCGUGGGGAGCGAACAGG